This 2295-nucleotide long non-coding RNA is filed under the name Gallus gallus (chicken). Its description in RNAcentral is "lncRNA (ENSGALG00010028332.1)". The record is from RNAcentral. Lineage: Eukaryota; Metazoa; Chordata; Aves; Galliformes; Phasianidae.
CAAAGCUGGGCUGGGGCCGUACCUCAUGGUGGCGAUGGCGCUCAUGGCCUGCUGCCGCAGCUCUGUGUCCAGGCGGUCGGCGGGCUCCUCCUGCAGCAGCUCCUGAGAGCACAGUGGGAUGGGAUGGGAUGGGAUGGGAUGGUGAGGUGUGCCCUGCUUGGUAGGCAGAGCCCGGGCACCCCAUCCUGGCCCCACAUCCCAACUCCCGGGCUCCCCAGGGACCCCGCAGUGGGAAGGGCUGUGCCCAGCGCCCGGCCCUGCGGUGCUCCCCUUACCUCAAUGCACUGCGCCACCUCUGAUGCGCAGGCACUCAGGUGCUUGUGAGCCUCUCUGUCCUUGAGGGCAGCUGUGCAGGCGGUGCGGACGCAGGCCAGAAAGCUCAGCUUCUGUGCCUGUGCCUGAGACAGGGAGGGGAGUUACAGGUGUCGGCAUCAGGGGACCCCGGCACCCUCUGGGCAUGGCCGGGCAGGGGCAGCCCGGGAAGCACAGAGUGCCCGCUACCUGGGGUCUGCGUGUGCAGCAGGCACGGAUGCAGCUCAGGGGAUCCUCCUCCUGCGGUGACACGACGGAGGCUGAAGGAUCCUCAGCUGAGUCCACGGGCCCCUGCAGGGGCUGCACCCCACACACCUUACGAGGCCCGUGCUGGGCCAUGGAGGUGCGGGAUGCCCUAGGCUUCUCCAGCCAGGCCUCUCGGGGUAGGCUCGGGGAUCUCUGUUCCAUCUCGCAGUGAGGGAACAGCGGCAAAUGCGCCUCCUGUUCCAACUCUGCCUUCAGGGGGACGAGGCCCACUGUGACGUGGCAGGGAUGUCACCGCAUUCUACCCGGCUCCACCCAGGCCCCCUUCCCUUGCCCUGGGCGUGGCCCAGAGCCCCGCAGCCAUCCCUGUCCGUGGGCAGUUUUGGUCUGGGAGGAGCCCUCGACUUCACUGUGUGCAUUUGCCACAGCUGCAGCGUUGGGGUCUGGGAGUCCUUCUCGGGGCCCUUCAGCCCAUCCCCGCAUCCCCCCCAGUAAAAUUAAACUGUGUCACGGUUUCCAGUGGGACGGAGUUGAUUUUUCCUUCUUGGCAUAUGGUGCUCUAUUUUGGCUUUAGGAGAAACACAAACAGGGUUGAUGACACGGCAGCGUUUCUAGCUGUUGCUGAGCAGUGCUGCACUGAGCUGUGGGCAUUUCAGCUUCUCCUUGUGUCCUGCUGGUGAAAGGCUGAGGGGGUACCAGGAGCCGGGAGCGCACAGAACUGGGGCGGCUUGUGGCAACUUAGGCAUGGACUCCGUUGCUAGUGCAGGACAAAGACCUUUAUUGUACAUGGUCACAACCCUUUAUACCCCUGCAACAGCGCCUUGUCCUCGUGCAUAUUUACAUCUUGCACAACUGCUGAGCUUGUUUACUCAUCCCAAGGUCUUUUGGAUAUCAGUGCGCUUUGUUUUCAUGUGGUCCCACAUCUGUGCACACCGUCACAAGGGGCGGGCAGCAACAUCUCCAUUGCAAGCUCUGUUAUGCAAGAUGGAGAGAUGGAAGUAAGAACUCAGGGGAGCAAAGAUCCUUGGUUUUAUUUUAGUAUCGUGAUGCUGGUGUGCCUGUUCAUAUUUCUUGGGAUUUAUACACAGUUGAAAAUGUGAUCGCUGUCUGAUUUGAUUAAAUCUCAUUGCAGUACCAUCUGCAAACAACACUCAACUGGGAGGAGCUGCAGAGAGAUGCUGACAAAUUGGAGGGCUGGGCAACUGCGCAGUUGUUCUUCCUUCCUCAUCCUGGGUCCGGAGGGCAUCAUCGAUGCUGAGGUUAUGGGAGAAGAGUAACUUCGGUGCUUCCAGCCGAGAAGUGCCCUUUGCAAGGAAAGAAGAUGCAGAACGUCUCUGGCCAUCCUCACCUCCUCCGCUGCCCCAGGCUCAUCUCAUGGGAACGCCCCUCCCAGCCAGGAGGACGUGCUGGGAGCUGGGCCAUGCGCACACACGCGGCCGUCCCUCGCUCUGAGCAGAAGGUGCGUCCUCUUCUCCCCGACGAUCUGCCGGCCGGUCCCGUCUGCCCAACAGCCGCUGUUCUUCUGCCGGCGCUAGGGCAGCACCGGGCGCUGUUCCUGCCUCCAGCUGCGGAGGAGGCAAAGUGACGGCCAGGGGCUCAAGCAGCGCAUCUGCAGCACAGACAAAAGAAGUUCCUGUUAUCGCGAGCCACUGUCUGUCUCAUUAUCAGCUACCUCUCCAUCAAGAACGUUGCUUUCCACGACCUAUGUCCCCAUGACAUACCUAGCCAUGCCCUCCCCCUGCCCCUCGCACAGCCCGCACUGGGCUGCCAGCCCAUCAC